GACGAACGCUGGCGGCGUGCUUAACACAUGCAAGUCGAACGGUAAGGCCCUUCGGGGUACACGAGUGGCGAACGGGUGAGUAACACGUGGGUGAUCUGCCCUGCACUUCGGGAUAAGCCUGGGAAACUGGGUCUAAUACCGGCUAGGACUCCUGCCUGCAUGGGCGGGGGGGGAAAGCUUUUGCGGUGUGGGAUGGGCCCGCGGCCUAUCAGCUUGUUGGUGGGGUGAUGGCCUACCAAGGCGACGACGGGUAGCCGGCCGGAGAGGGUGACCGGCCACACUGGGACUGAGAUACGGCCCAGACUCCUACGGGAGGCAGCAGUGGGGAAUAUUGCACAAUGGGCGCAAGCCUGAUGCAGCGACGCCGCGUGAGGGAUGACGGCCUUCGGGUUGUAAACCUCUUUCAGCACAGACGAAGCGAAGUGACGGUAUGUGCAGAAGAAGGACCGGCCAACUACGUGCCAGCAGCCGCGGUAA
Molecule: ribosomal RNA, 477 nt
Filed under: uncultured bacterium
Lineage: Bacteria
Description: partial 16S ribosomal RNA
Rfam family: Bacterial small subunit ribosomal RNA
Source: RNAcentral